UCAUUCAAACAAAGCUUACCAAAAAAAAAAAACCGUAGGAACAGAACACUGAAGUGAAUCACGAAGUGCAAGAUUCGUUUUUAAAAACAAUCUCGUGAUUUCAGUCUUAUAUCCUUUUCAUUGUUGCAAUGUCGUUUUCCAAUUUCAGGUGUCUUCUUUUCUCUCUUUUCAUUCCCAAUUUUCAACACUCGAACCCUAAAUUCAUUCCUAAUUUUCAUCACUCAAACCCUAAAUUCAAUCCUAAUUCUCAUCACUCAAACCCUAAAUUAAUUCAUCACUUUCCAUUUUCAAACUCAACAAGAAGGUUGUACUCUCGAUUACAUGAAGAAGAAGACGAAGAUAUUAUUGUUUCUUCAUUCAAUCGCUUGCUCCAUCAGAAUCCUACCCCACCCAUCAUCCAUUUCGGUCAGAUUUUAGGUUCCCUUGUCAAGGCCAACCAUUAUUCAACUGCCGUCUCACUUCAUCGACAAAUGGAACUAACAGGAAUUGCUUCAAACUUAGUCACCUUGAGCAUCUUGAUCAAUUGCUUUUGUCAAUUGGGUCAUAAUUCUCUUUCUUUUUCUGUAUUUGCCAACAUUCUUAAGAAGGGCUAUCACCCAAAUGCCAUUACUUUGACUACAAUCAUCAAGGGUCUCUGUCUCAAAGGUCAAGUCCAUCAAGCAUUGCACUUUCAUGAUAAGGUUGUAGCGCUUGGAUUUCAAUUGAAUCACGUUAGUUAUGGGACAUUAUUAAAUGGGUUAUGUAAAGUUGGAGAAACACGAGCAGCCCUGCAACUACUUAGACAAGUUGACGGGAAAUUGGUUCAACUUAACGUGGUAAUGUACAACACUAUUAUUGAUAGUAUGUGCAAAGAUAAACUUGUCAAUGAAGCCUUUGAUUUAUAUUUUGAAAUGCUUGCUAAGAGAAUUUCUCCUGAUGUUGUCACUUAUAGUGCUUUAAUUUAUGGCUUUUGCAUUGUUGGUAAAUUGAAAGAGGCAAUGGCUUUGUUUAAUAACAUGAUAUUGGAAAACAUCAAGUCGGAUGUAUAUAUCUUUAAUAUAUUGGUCGAUGCAUUUUGUAAGGAAGGAAAAGUGAAAGAAGCCAAAAAUGUGUUUGCCAUGAUGAUGAAAAAAGGCAUAAAACCUAACAUUGUUACUUAUAACUCUUUAAUGGAUGGAUAUUGCCUAGUGAAAGAAGUGAAUAAGGCCAUGGAUAUAUUCAACACUAUGACCCAGAGAGGAGUAAGUGUAGAUGUUCGGAGCUAUAAUAUCAUAAUUAAUGGAUUGUGUAAGAUUCGAAAGGUUGAUGAAGCUAUAGGUCUCUUCCAAGAUAUGCAUUGUAGAGACAUUAUUGUUGAUACUAUAACUUAUAGUUCUCUUAUUGAUGGCUUGUGCAAAUUAGGGAGAAUAUCAUAUGCUCAGGAGCUUCUCCAUGAGAUGUGCGAAAGAGGUCAACUACCUGAUAUAAUUACCUACAAUUCUAUAUUGGGUGGUUUAUGCAAAAACCAUUAUGUUGAUAAGGCAAUUGCAUUAUUAACAAAACUUAAAGAAAUUGGUAUUCAACCAGAUAAGUUCACAUAUACUAUUCUUAUUGAAGGAUUGUGUAAAAGUGGAAGACUUAAGGAUGCCCGAAAGGUCUUUGAAGAUCUUUUAGUCAAAGGCCACAAUCUAAAUGUCUUUAUAUAUACCGCUAUGAUCAAGGGCUUUUGUAAAAAUGACUUGUUUGAUGAGGCAUUGGCCAUGCUGUCAAAAAUGAAAGACGGUGGUUGCAUUCCGGAUGCUAAAACUUAUGAGACAAUUAUUCUUUCUCUCUUUGAAAAAGAUGAAAACGAUAAAGCAGAGAAACUUCUUCUUGAAAUGAUUGAGAGAGGUCUACUAUAAGACAGAAUAUGGGAGUAGCAUGGGGCUGGACCACCAUUUCUGCAAUGAGUGAGCUGUCAUGAUUGCAUGCACAAACUGCGAUGGGAUUGGGGGUAAACUGCAAGUUCGACGCACGGCCAAGACAUCAGUAUGUGAUGAACCAGCGCCCAGAACCUCCACCUAUGAUGAAUCUGCAAGUGCAAUGAACCAGU
Vicia villosa (hairy vetch) is the source of this 2050-nucleotide RNA transcript. It is a transcript of the gene named putative pentatricopeptide repeat-containing protein At1g12700, mitochondrial, with no coding region annotated. NCBI's taxonomy places the organism in Eukaryota, Viridiplantae, Streptophyta, Magnoliopsida, Fabales, Fabaceae. The transcript has 3 exons. The record is from RefSeq and is a predicted model, not a curated record.